GGCGACGACGGAUAGCCGGCCUGAGAGGGUGGCCGGCCACAGGGGCACUGAGACACGGGUCCCACUCCUACGGGAGGCAGCAGUUAGGAAUCUUCCACAAUGGGCGAAAGCCUGAUGGAGCGACGCCGCGUGAGGGAUGAAGGUCUUCGGAUCGUAAACCUCUGAACAGGGACGAAAGACGCUUUAUGCGGGAUGACGGUACCUGAGUAAUAGCACCGGCUAACUCCGUGCCAGCAGCCGCGGUAAUACGGAGGGUGCAAGCGUUACCCGGAAUCACUGGGCGUAAAGGGCGUGUAGGCGGACACUUAAGUCUGGUUUUAAAGACUGCGGCUCAACCGCAGGGAUGGACUGGAUACUGGGUGUCUUGACCUCUGGAGAGAGAACUGGAAUUCCUGGUGUAGCGGUGG
Molecule: ribosomal RNA, 407 nt
Filed under: Deinococcus sp. 50A(2010)
Lineage: Bacteria; Thermotogati; Deinococcota; Deinococci; Deinococcales; Deinococcaceae
Description: bacterial SSU rRNA
Rfam family: Bacterial small subunit ribosomal RNA
Source: RNAcentral